AUCUCAGGGACAUACAUUGACAGGAAGUGCACAUUCACUGGAACUGUUUUUAUCAGAGGCAGAAUUAUUGCUGGAACACGCCACAGUGCAAAGAUGAAUAGGACUAUUAUUGUCCGCAGAAACUGCCUUCAUUUUGUGAAAAAGUAUCAUAGGUAUGAGCAGAGGCACCCCAGUAUUCCUGCUCACAUUUCUCCUUUCUUCCGGGUCAAGGAAUGAGACCAUGUCAUCAUUGGCCAGUGCUGGCCUUUGUCAAAAUCCGUGUGGUUGAACGUCCCUAAAGUCAUUCCACCUGUGUCCACAGGUGGCACUGGGAAGAAAGCAUUUACGGCAGCUUGA
This 336-nucleotide ribosomal RNA is filed under the name Triticum aestivum (bread wheat). Its description in RNAcentral is "partial small subunit ribosomal RNA". The record is from RNAcentral. Lineage: Eukaryota; Viridiplantae; Streptophyta; Magnoliopsida; Poales; Poaceae.